UACGUAGGUGGCAAGCGUUGUCCGGAUUUACUGGGCGUAAAGAGCGCGCAGGCGGUCAGAUAAGUCGAAUGUGAAAGCCCCCGGCUCAACUGGGGAGGGUCAUUCGAUACUGUUCGACUCGAAGGCAGGAGAGGGAAGUGGAAUUCCCGGUGUAGCGGUGAAAUGCGUAGAUAUCUGGAGGAAUACCGGUGGCGAAGGCGGCAUCCUGGACCAUUACUGACGCUGAGGCGCGAAAGCUAGGGGAGCAAACGGG
RNAcentral lists this ribosomal RNA (253 nucleotides) under uncultured bacterium. RNAcentral's name for it is "partial 16S ribosomal RNA". It matches the Rfam family "Bacterial small subunit ribosomal RNA", at positions 524 to 776 of the family's 1533-position model. The record is from RNAcentral.